RNAcentral lists this ribosomal RNA (497 nucleotides) under uncultured bacterium. RNAcentral's name for it is "partial 16S ribosomal RNA". It matches the Rfam family "Bacterial small subunit ribosomal RNA", at positions 28 to 507 of the family's 1533-position model. The record is from RNAcentral.
GAUGAACGCUGGCGGCGUGCCUAAUACAUGCAAGUCGAGCGAACGGACGAGAAGCUUGCUUCUCUGAUGUUAGCGGCGGACGGGUGAGUAACACGUGGAUAACCUACCUAUAAGACUGGGAUAACUUCGGGAAACCGGAGCUAAUACCGGAUAAUAUUUUGAACCGCAUGGUUCAACAGUGAAAUACGGUCUUGCUGUCACUUAUAGAUGGAUCCGCGCUGCAUUAGCUAGUUGGUAAGGUAACGGCUUACCAAGGCAACGAUGCAUAGCCGACCGGAGAGGGGGAUCGGCCACACUGGAAGUGGGACACGGGCAAGGCUCCUACGGGAGGCAGCAGUAGGGAAUCUUCCGCAAUGGGGGAAAGCCUGACGGAGCGACGCCGAGUGAGUGAUGAAGGUCUUCGGAUCGUAAAACUCGGUUAUGAGGGAAGAACAUAUGUGUAAGUAACUGUGCACAUCGUGACGGUACCGAAUCAGAAAGCCACGGCUAACUACGUG